UACGUAGGGUGCGAGCGUUAAUCGGAAUUACUGGGCGUAAAGCGUGCGCAGGCGGUUUUGUAAGCCCGAGGUGAAAUCCCCGGGCUUAACCUGGGAACUGCCUUUGUGACUGCAAGGCUUGAGUGCGGCAGAGGGGGAUGGAAUUCCGCGUGUAGCAGUGAAAUGCGUAGAUAUGCGGAGGAACACCGAUGGCGAAGGCAAUCCCCUGGGCCUGCACUGACGCUCAUGCACGAAAGCGUGGGGAGCAAACAGG
Molecule: ribosomal RNA, 253 nt
Filed under: uncultured bacterium
Lineage: Bacteria
Description: partial 16S ribosomal RNA
Rfam family: Bacterial small subunit ribosomal RNA
Source: RNAcentral